AUACGUGAGAUAGCUCACAAGAGGGCCCCUGUUUUGAGAUUGCCUGUGGUCCACACGGAGUCACCAGCUCUGGAGGGCAGACGCCUAUCGCUAUGGUAACCAGUGUGCAGGGAAAAAGAUCCUGACUGGACUAGACUUCUGAUACCUGCGCCUCAAGGGCCUUCCCCAUUGUUGUAAGUGGUAGGAAAGGUGAGAGGGUCUCCCAGCCAGUGGUGGUACUCAAUUCUCCCUAAUCACCCGGGUCUUAGCCUCCAUCCCGGUUCAAUAAAUAUUUAUUGAAUGUAAAAGCAAUUUAAAAACUGGACAUUACUAAACACAUAGUAAUUAUUGCCAUCAUAGAAUUACUAUUAUUGUUGCUACAGGCCAGGCUCUUCAUCUGUAAACAGGACGCUGGGGGAGAUGAUGAAUAAAGUCCUCUCAAGCUAUGAA
Long non-coding RNA from Neogale vison (American mink), 429 nucleotides. RefSeq lists it as uncharacterized. The transcript is spliced from 2 exons. The record is from RefSeq and is a predicted model, not a curated record. NCBI's taxonomy places the organism in Eukaryota, Metazoa, Chordata, Mammalia, Carnivora, Mustelidae.